Non-coding RNA from Pelodiscus sinensis (Chinese soft-shelled turtle), 957 nucleotides. The record is from RefSeq and is a predicted model, not a curated record. Lineage: Eukaryota; Metazoa; Chordata; Testudines; Trionychidae.
UGCCCCAGAAAAUUAAGACAUUUAAUAGUAACUAAGUUAAGACAGUUUUUUAAAAAGUGACUUCUAUAACAAGUGGGUACAAUUUUUCAGGAUAGAUGAUUUUGUAACUGCCAGCACUGGGAAUUUAUUCUGGGAUUUUGCAAUCAAACAGGAUCGCCAGUAAUAAAAGGUUGUUCCAUGUUGCAAGUUAUACUCUCAGGAAUGGACAUGCCUGGGUUGUGGGAUGUAACUGACUAAAAUAUAAGAAAAAAGUUGUAUUAUCCAUAUCAAUAUACCGGAGAGCAUGAUUCAUUCGGCCUAUAAGAAAAACAGGAGAAAAAACUUAUUUAAUGCUUAUUUAAGCAGAUGAUGCCCUGCUUCUGCACAAGGAACAGAUCAGUGAACUAAUGGGAUGCUUCAAUUGCAUAGAAGUCAAUUUUUGGCCGCACGUUAAGUUCCUAAGCUGAGAUGUCUCUUCUUAGUGCUGUGGAGCGCAAACAGCUUUAAGUAACCUGUUGCUGAAUAUCAUCAAGAUUUUAGAAGACCAGGUGAAGGGAAAAAACACAGAGACAUUAAGUAUGCAGGAAGUUUAUUUCCUACCUUAAAAUCUACAGUAGUUCUAGUGACAGAGACUUACUAGCAGAAAAUCUAGAUAUUUAUAUUAACUUAGAAUUAUAAGAUCACAUUAGAGAUUAAGUACCACUCAGAACCAAAGGAAUGUAAUGAGACUGAAGUUCUUUAAUAUUUAGCAUGUUAUGAAAUGGGUUUUAGUGAAACAAAAAUGGAAUGCUAAUUUCAUAAAAAUAUACACAUACAUAUAAAAGUUGUUCCUUGCAUUUGAAUUAGAGAAAAAAACCCAAAAGUAGUGCUUCUAGAACUUUCAAGUUUCUCUGAUUUACAUUUAAAGUGUUUAUCGUUGGAUUUGUUAACUUUACAAAUUAUGUAUUUAUAUUGAACAUGUUUAGCUGACACCUUUCU